Molecule: ribosomal RNA, 535 nt
Filed under: uncultured bacterium
Lineage: Bacteria
Description: bacterial SSU rRNA
Rfam family: Bacterial small subunit ribosomal RNA
Source: RNAcentral
AAAUAGAUACCCAGGUAGUCCACGCCGUAAACGAUGAGUGCUAAGUGUUAGAGGGUUUUCCGCCCUUUAGUGCUGCAGCUAACGCAUUAAGCACUCCGCCUGGGGAGUACGACCGCAAGGUUGAAACUCAAAGGAAUUGACGGGGGCCCGCACAAGCGGUGGAGCAUGUGGUUUAAUUCGAAGCAACGCGAAGAACCUUACCAGGUCUUGACAUCCUCUGACCUCCCUAGAGAUAGGGCCUUCCCCUUCGGGGGACAGAGUGACAGGUGGUGCAUGGUUGUCGUCAGCUCGUGUCGUGAGAUGUUGGGUUAAGUCCCGCAACGAGCGCAACCCUUGACCUUAGUUGCCAGCAUUCAGUUGGGUCACUCUAAGGUGACUGCCGGUGACAAACCGGAGGAAGGUGGGGAUGACGUCAAAUCAUCAUGCCCCUUAUGACCUGGGCUACACACGGUGCUACAAUGGAUGGUACAAAGGGCUGCGAGACCGCGAGGUUAAGCCAAUCCCAAUAAAACCAUUCUCGAGUUCGGAUUGCAGG